UUUUUUUGUUGAUGGCUACUAUAUACAUUUACCAUCAAAAGCACAAUGGCAAGUCGUAACUAAGGAGUAUGCCGCCAUCUUGACUUCCUAAAAACAUAAAUGUCAGAUAAAUACAACGGAAUCUUAAAUGAAAUAGCACCUACCUCAAAAACUUUAUUUUAAUUAAAUGUUAUCCGAAUUUGAAGCGUACACGUAACGAAAUAAUCUUUCCC
RNAcentral lists this long non-coding RNA (212 nucleotides) under Mytilus galloprovincialis (Mediterranean mussel). Lineage: Eukaryota; Metazoa; Mollusca; Bivalvia; Mytilida; Mytilidae. The record is from RNAcentral.